CAGAUAUGUGGAUGCUGUUCUGACAAUCCCGAAGGGCACCCUAUUCCCGAUGUGUGGAAUGAACCUCGCUUUUAACAGGGAGCUGAUAGGCCCUGCUAUGUACUUUGGACUCAUGGGAGAUGGUCAGCCCAUUGGCAGAUAUGAUGAUAUGUGGGCUGGCUGGUGUGCCAAGGUAAUCUGUGACCAUCUGGGUCUUGGAGUGAAAACAGGGCUGCCAUACAUUUGGCACAGCAAAGCAAGUAACCCAUUUGUCAAUUUGAAGAAGGAAUAUAAGGGCAUAUAUUGGCAGGAAGACAUCAUUCCGUUCUUCCAAUCUGUUGUUCUACCAAAAGAGUGCACAACUGUGGAGAAAUGCUACAUCGAGCUUUCCAAAUUGGUUAAGGAAAAGCUUGGCCCUAUUGAUCCUUACUUCCACAAACUUGGUGAUGCAAUGGUUACUUGGAUUGAAGCUUGGGAGGAGCUCAAUUCGCCAAGACAAGGAUCUACAGCUCAGCCCAAUGGCUUUGAGAAAAAAUGAGCCCUCUUUUUUCCCUA
Molecule: unclassified non-coding RNA, 534 nt
Filed under: Hevea brasiliensis (rubber tree)
Lineage: Eukaryota; Viridiplantae; Streptophyta; Magnoliopsida; Malpighiales; Euphorbiaceae
Source: RNAcentral